UAAUUUAUGGCACUAGAUCUCGUGCAUUAUUUGACACAGGUGCAUCGCAUUCAUUCAUCAGUAGCUCAUUUGCUAAGACGCAUGAUAUUGAGAUUUCGGAUAGUGAGGAUGCCUGGUGGGUGUAUGCCCCUGAGCACACAUUUAGUGUUCACGAAGUGUGUGCGGCGUGUCCAGUACAGGUUGGUGAUUGGAUUAUGCAGCAGAUUUGCUAGUGCUAAGUCGCAUGAAAGACUUUAAUGUGAUCCUUGGGAUGGACUGGCUUACAAAGUACUAUGCCACGAUUGAUUGUGAAAGUAAAGUAAUUACUUUUCGUGAACCCGGGCAAAAAGAAGUUGUGUAUCGGGCGUGCAAGAGUUCGCUCUUUGCGUUAACAGUAUCGACGUCGAGAGCAAGAAAGUUGAUUAGUAGUGGAUGUGCGGCUUAUUUGGCAACAGUUGUGGAGACUCAAAAGGAACUUCCAGUACUUGGAGAUAUUCCAGUAGUUCGAGAGUUUCCUGAUGUGUUUCCUGCGGAGUUACCGGGAUUGCCACCGGAUCGGAAAAUUGAGUUUGUUAUUGAUUUGGUUCCGGGGACGGCGCCAAUUUCGAAGGCUCCGUGCAGAAUGGCACCAGCUGAGUUAAGAGAGCUGAAAGCUCAGUUGCAGGAUUUGAUGGACAAAGGCUUUGUGAAGCCUAGUGUGUCGCCGUGGGGAGCUCCAGUUCUGUUUGUAAAGAAGAAAGACGGAACACUUCGGCUGUGCAUUGACUAUCGCGAGCUGAAUAAAGUCACAAUUAAGAAUAAAUAUCCGUUUCUAUGAAUUGAUGACUUAUUUGAUCAGUUGCAAGGGUCACGGGUAUGCUCAAAGAUUGAUCUCCAAUCAGGUUACCACCAAUUGAAGAUCAAACCAGAGGAUAUGCAUAAGACAGCGUUUCGCACUCGUUAUGGUCAUUACGAGUUUACAGUGAUGCCGUUUGGGCUAACCAAUGCCCCUGCAGCGUUCAUGGAUCUAAUGAAUAGGAUCUUUAAGGCGUUGUUGGAUCAGUGUGUUGUAGUAUUUAUUGACGACAUCUUGAUCUUUUCUCGAAGCAAUGAGAAGCACGAGGAACACUUGAGAAUGGUGAUGCAAAUUCUGCGGGAGAAGUAGUUAUAUGCCAAAUUGAAGAAAUGUGAAUUUUGGCUCCGAGAGGUUGCAUUUUUGGGACAUGUGAUUUCUGACGGUGGUGUAGCUGUCGACCCAAAGAAAGUAGAGGCAAUUAAAGAGUGGCCUCGCCCGACGACUGUUCCAGAGAUCCGCAGUUUCCUUGGACUUGCGGGAUAUUAUAGGCGGUUCGUGGAGGGAUUUGCAAAGAUUACUACUCCACUAACGCGCCUUACACAUAAAGGAACUAAAUAUGUUUGGAGCGAAGAAUGUGAUCGUAGCUUUCGGGAGUUGAAAGAAAGGUUGACUUCGACUCCUAUUCUGGCCUUGCCGAUUUCGGGGGAGAGUUUUGUGAUCUACAGUGAUGCUUCCUAUAGUGGACUUGCGUGUGUACUUAUGCAAGGUGGUCGAGUCAUUGCCUAUGCGUCUCGCCAGCUGAAGAAUUAUGAAAAGAACUAUCCUAUUCACGAUUUGGAGUUGGCGGCAGUAAUCUUCGCAUUGAAGUUGUGGAGACACUAUCUUUAUGGCGAGCAUUGCGAGAUUUAUACUGACCAUAAGAGCCUGAAGUAUUUAUUCACCCAAAAAGAGCUAAAUAUGCGACAACGUCGGUGAUUAGAAUUAUUAAAGGAUUAUGAUGUUACUAUUCUAUACCACCCAGGAAAGGCUAAUGUGGUUGCAGAUGCACUGAGUAGAAAGUCAGUUGAGAACUUGGCUAUGAUGAUCACCCACCAACCGUCGUUGCAGAAUGAAAUGCGACGGUUUGAUCUUGAGGUAGUCGCUCCAGAUGUACCAGUUAUUCUUGCCGCUCUAGUUGUUCAACCGACCUUAUUGGAACAAAUUAAAGAACGGCAACCUUCAGAUCCGUAUCUCCAAAAGGUGCGGUGUGAAGUUGAGAGCGGACGUGGUGAUGAUUUUGCAGUAGGGUCAGAUGGAGCACUUCAGUUUCGCAACUGGUUGUGCGUGCCCAAAGAUGAGGAGAUUCAGAAAGCUAUGUUACAGGAAGCUCAUCAGUCACCUUAUAGUGUACAUCCAGGUGGCACUAAGAUGUACAAGGAUCUUAAAGUGCAUUAUUGGUGGCCUGGGAUGAAGAAGGAUAUUGGGCGGUUUGUGGCGCAGUGUUUGACCUGUCAGCAAGUGAAAGCUGAGCGUCGCUUCCCUGCGGGAAAGUUGCAGAGUUUACCUAUUCCCGUUUGGAAGUGGGAGAACAUUGCGAUGGACUUCAUAGUUGGAUUACCCCGAUCACAGGCUGGACAUGACACUAUUUGGGUGAUUGUUGAUCGACUGACGAAAUCGGCGCAUUUCUUGCCGAUUCAUGCUACUUGGUCAGGAGACAAGUUAGCUCAGGUAUACCUCGACGAGAUUGUGAGAUUACACGGAGUCCCAACGUCGAUUGUAUCAGAUCGAGAUCCGCAGUUUACAUCUCACUUUUGGAGGAGUUUGCAGGAUGCUCUUGGCACACGACUCGAUUUUAGUACAGCAUUUCAUCCUCAGACCGAUGGACAGUCUGAGAGGACGAUUCAGAUUUUGAAGGAUAUGCUACGGGCGUGUGUACUCGACUUCAGGGGUAGUUGACAUGCUUUCUUAGCGAUGGCCGAGUUUGCGUAUAACAAUAGUUAUCAGGAAAGCAUCGCAAUGGCACCAUUUGAAGCCCUCUACGGGAGAAAAUGUCGAUCCCCUAUCCAUUGGAGUGAAGUAGGAGAAACGAUUGUAUUUGGUCUUGAUGUACUCCAAGAAGCGGAGAAAAAGGUACGCCUAGUCCGCCAGAGAUUGUUGACAGCCCAGUCGCAGCAGCAGAGUUAUGCAAAUAAGCGCCGAAAGAACUUGGAGUUUGCGGUUGGCGAUCGAGUAUUCUUGAAGGUGUCGCCGAUGCGUGGGAUAAAGAGAUUUGGUGUUCGAGGAAAGCUUAGUCCUCGAUACAUUGGGCCCUACGAGAUUUUGGAGCGAGUGGGAGCGGUAGCUUAUAGAUUGGCUUUACCGCCGAAGUUCGAGGGAAUACACAAUGUAUUUCAUGUUUCGAAUCUUCGCAAAUAUGUGCAUCAUCCUGGACAUGUUCUCGAGUUCGAACCAGUAGAUUUGCCGGAGAAUAUGACUUAUGAAGAGUAUCCAGUAUGCAUCCUUGAUCGUGAAGUGCGAGAACUACGGAAUCGCACUAUUCCCUACGUGAAAGUACAAUGGAGUAAUCACUCAGGACGAGAGGCCACUUGGGAAUUGGAAGAAACCAUGCGCGACUCCUAUCCCCAUCUAUUUGACCAGGAGGACUAAGCCGAGGGGAUUGGUGGUGCUGCCGAGCUGUUAGAGCUGAGGAAAAGCCUAGGUGAGUUGAUGGUAAAGAGAAGUGGCAGCUUGAGGGCUGAUGUUGUGAGGCUUGUUUGAGCUUAGGGACCAGCUGAGAAAGAGCUGGAACUCGAGAAAAAAUUUCUGUAGAAGCUGAAGUAAAGAGAGGAAGUAUGAGACUGCUAGUUGUUGGGACUCCCUGUUGAUCCGAGCUGAAGGGAUGGCACCAGAGCGUUUAAUUUCUUGCAGUUAGAGCAUCUAAUUAAGUCAAGAAGCCAUGUGGGAAAGUGGGAGUGCUGAAAUUUCUUGGUGUUGGCAGCCUUGAUGCUUGCGGAUUGAGAAGGGGCUGGUCCGAAUAGGGAACAAGUUGGAGAGGCACCUGAGUGAAAGAAUAGAAGGCUUAGUGAAGUUGGUGGAGUUGAAGCCUUGCUGAUCCGAGAUGAGAACAACCUGGUUUAGUACCUAAUUAAGGUUGAUUGAAGUUGCUGAAUUGGAAAUCAGCAAAGUUGCUGAAUUUGAAAUCAGCAAAGUUGCUGAAUUGGAAACCAGCAGAAGGAAAUUUGGAAACUGAGGUCGGGGACGCAUGAAUUACGGUAGAAGCCGUUUAAGCUCUAUUUGCACGGAGUCGCGAGAGCUCGUUAUUGGCAUAGUUCGAGACGCUGAUUCUAACUGUUAGCAUCCCUACAGGUUCCAGCGCGAGCAGUGUGGCCGAGGAUUGCGGCAAAAGCCCAACAGCCUAGCUAGUGGACACUCGAGUUCUAGUGGUAUACCAUUUUGGGUUCAUGUGAUACAUUUUUGAUGUUCAGAGACUUGUAAAUGAAUGUAUAAAAGAGCAUGUAAAUAACUAAAUGUUUCAGUUAUUCAGUUAUGUAUAGUUCAGUUUAAAGUUUUCAAGUUA
Molecule: long non-coding RNA, 4289 nt
Organism: Ananas comosus (pineapple)
Lineage: Eukaryota; Viridiplantae; Streptophyta; Magnoliopsida; Poales; Bromeliaceae
Exons: 7
Source: RefSeq, a predicted model, not a curated record